RNAcentral lists this long non-coding RNA (300 nucleotides) under Eucalyptus grandis. RNAcentral describes it as "long non-coding RNA (EGRA_LNC002354)". Lineage: Eukaryota; Viridiplantae; Streptophyta; Magnoliopsida; Myrtales; Myrtaceae. The record is from RNAcentral.
CAUCGUGAAAUCAUUGACAUCGCUCCAACUCCCCACACUCGCUGCUGAUAUGAGGGACACUUCCAUAUCUUUGGACAACUUACCUGCCAGCUCUUUAACGAAAGGGAAUAUCUCUUUUAUAGAUAUCGCUCUCUUUACACUUUCCGUAUGUUCCGAUACCCAUUGAACCUUAAUAACCUCCAUCAUCGGCCCCAGACUACUCCAGCAAGACAAGUACAAGGGGUCAUGAGAAGCUAUUCUCCUGAGCAACUUACAAAACUCCAGCACUAUGGGUGCACAGCGCGAUCGCAAAGACUUUGG